UGUGUAGGCGGGACCGUAAGUCAGAGGUGAAAUCCUGCAGCUCAACUGUAGAACUGCCUUUGAUACUGCGGCUCUUGAAUCUCGGAGAGGUCAUUAGAAUUCGUGGUGUAGCGGUGAAAUGCGUAGAUAUCACGAGGAAUACCAGAGGCGUAGGCGGAUGACUGGACGAGUAUUGACGCUGAGGCACGAAAGCGUGGGGAGCAAACAGGAUUAGAUACCCUGGUAGUCC
Molecule: ribosomal RNA, 229 nt
Filed under: uncultured bacterium
Lineage: Bacteria
Description: partial 16S ribosomal RNA
Rfam family: Bacterial small subunit ribosomal RNA
Source: RNAcentral